RNAcentral lists this ribosomal RNA (253 nucleotides) under uncultured bacterium. RNAcentral describes it as "partial 16S ribosomal RNA". It matches the Rfam family "Archaeal small subunit ribosomal RNA", at positions 474 to 727 of the family's 1478-position model. The record is from RNAcentral.
UCCCAGCAGUCCAAGUCGCAACCACAUUUGUUGGGUCUAAAACAUCCGUAGCUCGCUUCGUAAGUCUGUCGUGAAAUCCUACCUCUUAAGGGUAGAAGUGCGAUAGGUACUGCGGGGCUAGGGACCGGGAGACGUAACGAGUACGCAUAGAGUACCGGUAAAAUGGGUUGAUCCUAUGUGGACUAACAACAGCGAAGGCACGUUACGAGCACGGAUCCGACAGUGAGGGAUGAAGGCUAGGGGCGCAAAGUGG